AACCUUUACACUGCACGACAGUGCGAUAGGGGGACUCCGAGUGCGAGGGCAUAUAGUCCUCGCUUUUCUGUACCGUAAGGUGGUACAGGAACAAGUGCUGGGCAAGACCGGUGCCAGCCGCCGCGGUAAUACCGGCAGCACGAGUGAUGGCCGAUAUUAUUGGGCCUAAAGCGUCCGUAGCCGGCCGGACAAGUCCGUUGGGAAAUCGACGCGCUCAACGCGUCGGCGUCCAGCGGAAACUGUCCGGCUUGGGGCCGGAAGACCCGAGGGGUACGUCCGGGGUAGGAGUGAAAUCCUGUAAUCCUGGACGGACCACCAAUGGGGAAACCACCUCAGGAAGACGGACCCGACGGUGAGGGACGAAAGCUAGGGUCUCGAACCGGAUUAGAUACCCGGGUAGUCCUAGCUGUAAACGAUGCUCGCUAGGUGUGGCGCAGGCUACGAGCCUGCGCUGUGCCGUAGGGAAGCCGUGAAGCGAACCGCCUGGGAAGUACGUCUGCAAGGAUGAAACUUAA
RNAcentral lists this ribosomal RNA (515 nucleotides) under uncultured archaeon. RNAcentral's name for it is "bacterial SSU rRNA". It matches the Rfam family "Archaeal small subunit ribosomal RNA", at positions 345 to 859 of the family's 1478-position model. The record is from RNAcentral.